RNAcentral lists this RNase P RNA (386 nucleotides) under Spirochaetaceae bacterium. RNAcentral's name for it is "RNase P RNA component class A". It matches the Rfam family "Bacterial RNase P class A". Rfam says of the family: Ribonuclease P (RNase P) is a ubiquitous endoribonuclease, found in archaea, bacteria and eukarya as well as chloroplasts and mitochondria. Its best characterised activity is the generation of mature 5'-ends of tRNAs by cleaving the 5'-leader elements of precursor-tRNAs. The record is from RNAcentral. Lineage: Bacteria; Pseudomonadati; Spirochaetota; Spirochaetia; Spirochaetales; Spirochaetaceae.
ACGGCGGGUCGGGUUGUCGCACCGUGCCCAAAUGGCCGGUGAGGAAAGUCCGGGCUCCACAGAGCAUGGCACCGGGUAACACCCGGGCUCUACGCGUUGUCAUGACGCGCGGAGACAGAAAGUGCCACAGAAACCAUACCGCCCCGCCUCGGUGGGGUAAGGGUGAAAUGGUGGGGUAAGAGCCCACCGGCCGCGGGGUAACCCGCGGUGCAGCGGCAAACCUUGCCAGGAGCAAAGCCAAGCAGCGGACGAGUUGCUCGCUCAAUGUCCGUGGGUAGGCUGCGCAGAACACAGCGGCAACGCCGUGUCCAGAUAAAUGACAGCCCAGGAGAGGCUCCUGCGGGAGUUUCUCUGGACCGAACCCGGCUUACAGACCCGCCGUUCGU